AACCCAGGCUAAUACCGCAUACGUCCUACGGGAGAAAGGGGGCUCCGGCUCCCGCUAUCGGAUGAGCCUAUGUCGGAUUAGCUGGUUGGUGAGGUAACGGCUCACCAAGGCCACGAUCCGUAGCUGGUCUGAGAGGAUGAUCAGCCACAUCGGGACUGAGACACGGCCCGAACUCCUACGGGAGGCAGCAGUGGGGAAUAUUGGACAAUGGGGGAAACCCUGAUCCAGCCAUGCCGCGUGUGUGAAGAAGGCCCUCGGGUUGUAAAGCACUUUCAGCGAGGAAGAACGCCUAACGGUUAAUACUCGCUAGGAAAGACAUCACUCGCAGAAGAAGCACCGGCUAACUCCGUGCCAGCAGCCGCGGUAAUACGGAGGGUGCAAGCGUUAAUCGGAAUUACUGGGCGUAAAGCGCGCGUAGGUGGAUUGAUAAGCCGGUUGUGAAAGCCCCGGGCUCAACCUGGGAACGGCAUCCGGAACUGUCAAGCUAGAGUGCAGGAGAGGAAGGUAGAAUUCCCGGUGUAGCGGUGAAAUGCGUAGAGAUCGGGAGGAAUACCAGUGGCGAAGGCGGCCUUCUGGACUGACACUGACACUGAGGUGCGAAAGCGUGGGUAGCAAACAGGAUUAGAUACCCUGGUAGUCCACGCCGUAAACGAUGUCGACCAGCCGUUGGGUGCCUAGCGCACUUUGUGGCGAAGUUAACGCGAUAAGUCGACCGCCUGGGGAGUACGGCCGCAAGGUUAAAACUCAAAUGAAUUGACGGGGGCCCGCACAAGCGGUGGAGCAUGUGGUUUAAUUCGAUGCAACGCGAAGAACCUUACCUACUCUUGACAUCCUGCGAAUUUGGUAGAGAUACCUUAGUGCCUUCGGGAACGCAGAGACAGGUGCUGCAUGGCUGUCGUCAGCUCGUGUUGUGAAAUGUUGGGUUAAGUCCCGUAACGAGCGCAACCCUUGUCCUUAUUUGCCAGCGCGUAAUGGCGGGAACUCUAAGGAGACUGCCGGUGACAAACCGGAGGAAGGUGGGGACGACGUCAAGUCAUCAUGGCCCUUACGAGUAGGGCUACACACGUGCUACAAUGGUCGGUACAAAGGGUUGCCAACUCGCGAGAGUGAGCCAAUCCCGAAAAGCCGAUCUCAGUCCGGAUCGGAGUCUGCAACUCGACUCCGUGAAGUCGGAAUCGCUAGUAAUCGUGGAUCAGAAUGCCACGGUGAAUACGUUCCCGG
This 1221-nucleotide ribosomal RNA is filed under the name uncultured Halomonas sp. RNAcentral's name for it is "bacterial SSU rRNA". It matches the Rfam family "Bacterial small subunit ribosomal RNA", at positions 155 to 1377 of the family's 1533-position model. The record is from RNAcentral. Lineage: Bacteria; Pseudomonadati; Pseudomonadota; Gammaproteobacteria; Oceanospirillales; Halomonadaceae.